UGUGCAGGUAAUUAUCUGGAACAACAAUGUGAAUUUUAUUUAUAUAUACUUUUUUUCCUACUGUUUUGUAGGACUAUUUUUAAGAGGUCAGAACUUGUAAACCAAUAUGUAACGUUUUUCUGUGAAUCCUUCCAGGAUUGCAGGUAAAAAGUCCAAAAUAUCACCUGAUGGAGCUGGACAGUACAUAGAGUGCCUCACUUCAGACAGUACCAUUACGUGGAGUUUUGGUUCUUUUUUGUAAGGUAAGUUUUGUCACUAACGAGUUUCUUUUUGCAGAAUAAAGACCAUGAAAAUAAA
RNAcentral lists this long non-coding RNA (297 nucleotides) under Numida meleagris (helmeted guineafowl). Its description in RNAcentral is "lncRNA (ENSNMEG00000010681.1)". The record is from RNAcentral. Lineage: Eukaryota; Metazoa; Chordata; Aves; Galliformes; Numididae.